UACGUAGGUGGCAAGCGAUACUCGGAAUCACUAGGCGUAAAGCGCAGGUAGGCGGUUGGAUAAGUUUCUUGUGAAAGCUCCCGGCUUAACUGGGAGAGGUCAAGGAAUACUGUCUGACUUGAGUGUGGUAGGGGUAACUGGAAUUCCCGGUGUAGCGGUGAAAUGCGCAGAUAUCAGGAGGAACACCAAUGGCGAAGGCAGCUCUCUGGGACGGUACUGACGCUGAGACGCGAAAGCGUGGGGAGCGAACAGG
Molecule: ribosomal RNA, 253 nt
Filed under: uncultured bacterium
Lineage: Bacteria
Description: partial 16S ribosomal RNA
Rfam family: Bacterial small subunit ribosomal RNA
Source: RNAcentral